GUGAAAGUGAUGAAAACUGAAGUCAUUUGUUUAGUUCUAGCACAGGUAUGGUACAACUCCAAGAACGUACCUCACUUCUGAGUUGGAAGGACUACCUGUAGGGAUGAAACACCCCCUCAGGACCUGGAUCCGCUCAGCCCUUGACUUCC
RNAcentral lists this small RNA (149 nucleotides) under Nothoprocta perdicaria. RNAcentral describes it as "TUC338 (ENSNPEG00000003953.1)". The record is from RNAcentral. Lineage: Eukaryota; Metazoa; Chordata; Aves; Tinamiformes; Tinamidae.